AGGACGAACGCUGGCGGCGUGCCUAACACAUGCAAGUCGAGCGAGGAGAUCCUCGGGAUGAUCCUAGCGGCGGACGGGUGAGUAACACGUGGGCAACCUGCCUCAUAGAGAGGAAUAGCCUUCCGAAAGGGAGAUUAAUACCUCAUAACAUUGCAGUUUCGCAUGGAACAGCAAUUAAAGGAGCAAUCCGCUAUGAGAUGGGCCCGCGGCGCAUUAGCUAGUUGGUGAGGUAACGGCUCACCAAGGCGACGAUGCGUAGCCGACCUGAGAGGGUGAUCGGCCACAUUGGGACUGAGACACGGCCCAGACUCCUACGGGAGGCAGCAGUGGGGAAUAUUGCACAAUGGGGGAAACCCUGAUGCCAGCAACGCCGCGUGAGUGAUGACGGCCUUCGGGUUGUAAAGCUCUGUCUUCAGGGACGAUAAUGACGGUACCUGAGGAGGAAGCCACGGCUAACUACGUGCCAGCCGCCGC
This 474-nucleotide ribosomal RNA is filed under the name uncultured bacterium. RNAcentral describes it as "bacterial SSU rRNA". It matches the Rfam family "Bacterial small subunit ribosomal RNA", at positions 26 to 518 of the family's 1533-position model. The record is from RNAcentral.